ACGCUCGACACCUACGGGAGGAGCAGUGGGGAAUAUUGCACAAUGGGGGGAACCCUGAUGCAGCGACGCCGCGUGAGGGAAGAAGGUUUUCGGAUUGUAAACCUCUGUCUUGUGGGACGAUAAUGACGGUACCACAGGAGGAAGCCAUGGCUAACUACGUGCAGCAGCCGCGGUAAUCUGAGCGGGCUGGCAAGGC
Molecule: ribosomal RNA, 196 nt
Filed under: uncultured bacterium
Lineage: Bacteria
Description: partial 16S ribosomal RNA
Rfam family: Bacterial small subunit ribosomal RNA
Source: RNAcentral